RNAcentral lists this long non-coding RNA (425 nucleotides) under Musa acuminata (dwarf banana). RNAcentral's name for it is "long non-coding RNA (MACU_LNC002976)". The record is from RNAcentral. Lineage: Eukaryota; Viridiplantae; Streptophyta; Magnoliopsida; Zingiberales; Musaceae.
ACGAACUGAGCACCCACGAUGAUCCACCACGACAGGCUCAGCGCCAGCGAGGCCCCCAACAGUCCUAGGCCGAUCUUGUACACCACCACCCAGCUGAGGAGCAGGUGCACCACCAGCGUCGCCGCCGAGAUGUAGGCGCUCGGCGCCACGAUGCUCUGCGCCUGCAGGAACUUCUGGAUGGGGAAGUUGGCGGCGUACGCGAAGAUCUGCGGGAUCAGCCCGUAGACGAAGAUGGACGCCGCCUUGGCGAUCUCCGGCGACUCACCCAGCAGCACAAGGAUCGGCCUCGAUAGGGCGUAGAUCGCGGCCAGCGGCACGCCGGUGGCCAUGAGGAGCACCGUCGACCGCUGCAGGUAUACCCCGAGCAUCUCGUACUUGUGGGCGCCGUACGCCUGUCCGCAUAGUGUCUCCACAGCACUCCCCAU